CGCGGACGAACCGCUCGCCAACUGGGUCAGGUCCGGAAGGAAGCAGCCCUAACGAGUUAGGAACGGGUCGUUGCCAGCCUCC
RNAcentral lists this signal recognition particle RNA (82 nucleotides) under uncultured Maritalea sp. RNAcentral's name for it is "Bacterial small signal recognition particle RNA". The stretch from base 2 to 71 matches the Rfam family "Bacterial small signal recognition particle RNA", at positions 12 to 81 of the family's 97-position model. Rfam says of the family: The signal recognition particle (SRP) is a universally conserved ribonucleoprotein involved in the co-translational targeting of proteins to membranes. Archaeal SRP consists of a 7S RNA and homologues of the eukaryotic SRP19 and SRP54 proteins. The record is from RNAcentral. Lineage: Bacteria; Pseudomonadati; Pseudomonadota; Alphaproteobacteria; Hyphomicrobiales; Devosiaceae.